CGGCUGAACUCAAAUUUGGGUCGAUCUAACUCAAAUUAAUAACUUCCUUCGAAACGUCAAACUCUGAGUAACCGAGUUUUAUGAAUUUGAGUGACUGUUACCCAAAUAAAUAUAAAUAAGUGGGAAACUCAAAAUUGAGUUCACCGUGAAAAUUUCUUUAUAAUGGCGAAGUCCGGUUGCUGAAGAUAGUCAGAAAUCAUAUUCAAUUAUAAACCAUAUGUUGAACGAUAAAUAGAACAGAGAUUGAAAUGAAGACAAAACAAUCUGGAGAGUGUUUCUUUUCGCUACUUGUUGUAUCGGAGUUCUAUCUCGGCCUGAAAUUCAGGCUCUGAAGGCUAUGGGAAAGUGCGAGCUUCUGAGGAAUGGUACACUUUUCGACUCGCUUUUCGAAGCGACAAAAAUCAUGCCAGGCUACGAUAUUACGUGCUUCCUUGUGCUUCUUACCAAUAACAAAAUUGAAAUAAUUUCUUUAUAUGUAUUAUAUUAUUGAAAUAAUGUGCAUAUCAUUCGGUGUAACAAAUAAAAUGUUUUUAAACUA
This is a long non-coding RNA of Armigeres subalbatus, 538 nucleotides long. RefSeq lists it as uncharacterized. The record is from RefSeq and is a predicted model, not a curated record. Lineage: Eukaryota; Metazoa; Arthropoda; Insecta; Diptera; Culicidae. The transcript has 3 exons.